This 805-nucleotide long non-coding RNA is filed under the name Ananas comosus (pineapple). RNAcentral's name for it is "long non-coding RNA (ACOM_LNC007486)". Lineage: Eukaryota; Viridiplantae; Streptophyta; Magnoliopsida; Poales; Bromeliaceae. The record is from RNAcentral.
CUAAUUCUUAUUAGAUUGAUCCAACUAUAUAUACUUCUAAGGCUUAGUUUAGUAUUGAGGCCUAUCUAACGCUAGCUAUUAGAUAAAAUGGAGUUGUGGAAAAAGCAUAUAGGAAUAUGCUUCUGCGUUCUCCGAUGGAACCGCAGAAAAUAUAACGUAACCGACUCAUCGCGAUAUGUGAAACGCAAUAAUAUUACGUACGGACGAAGCCUAAGUUUCUGUGUAAACAAAGGUGGUGUUUGCACAAAAAACUAAUCGAAAAUGGUUACAUGUGUUUUCCAUGAGAAAGAAAAAGUUUAUGUUUAUUUUUUGAUACAGCGUAAAACAGAAAAGUUUUCAACGUAUAUAUAUUUAAUUUGUAGGAAAAAAAAAUAAAAUAAAGAGAGUAAUAGCUUGGUCUGCUAGUAGAAAAAAUAAAGAUAUUGAUAUGUUGAAAAAACUUAUUAUAGGAAUAUAAUAGUAUUAAAGAUUUGUGGAUUUUUACUUCCAAUUAAUUAUAUAAUGAAUUAUUACGAGUGAUGUAACAGCUUAAUUGAUCUGCUAGUACUAAUAACUCAUUGAGCUCUAAAUCUAAAAUACUUAAGUUUAGUUAUUAGUUCUAGUGUGAACGUCACAUACAAGUUCCUCACAUUUUCUCACAUUAUCUGAUGAGCUUUCUAGUACUGGCACGAAUAAGUUGUUUGACCCUAAACCAUCCGUCUGAAAUGAUAAAAUUUGAUUAUUAGAUCUUGUGUGCUUGUCACAUAUAAAUCUCUUACACUCUUCCACAUUAUUGUAUGUGGGAUCUGGGGGUGCUACAAGUGAU